RNAcentral lists this ribosomal RNA (497 nucleotides) under uncultured bacterium. Its description in RNAcentral is "partial 16S ribosomal RNA". It matches the Rfam family "Bacterial small subunit ribosomal RNA", at positions 28 to 507 of the family's 1533-position model. The record is from RNAcentral.
GAUGAACGCUGGCGGCGUGCCUAAUACAUGCAGGUCGAGCGAACAGACGAGGAGCUUGCUCCUCUGACGUUAGCGGCGGACGGGUGAGUAACACGUGGAUAACCUACCUAUAAGACUGGGAUAACUUCGGGAAACCGGAGCUAAUACCGGAUAACAUGUUGAACCGCAUGGUUCAACAGUGAAAGACGGUCUUGCUGUCACUUAUAAAUGGAUCCGCGCCGCAUUAGCUAGUUGGUAAGGUAACGGCUUACCAAGGCAACGAUGCGUAGCCGACCUGAGAGGGUGAUCGGCCACACUGGAACUGGAACACGGUCCAGACUACUACGGGAGGCAGCAGUAGGGAAUCGUCCGCAGUGGGCGAAAGCCUGACGGAGCAACGCCGCGUGAGUGAAGAAGGUCUUCGGAUCGUAAAACUCUGUUAUUAGGGAAGAACAAAUGUGUAAGUAACUAUGCACGUCUUGACGGUACCUAAUCAGAAAGCCACGGCUAACUACGUG